AGAUCAAUAAAAAUUAUCACUAAGCAUCCUCCCUCCCUGGGCUUCGGGUUCCAGAAAACAACCCUUGUCCCCCAGCCCCAACUACCUAUCUGUGAAUAUACAGCAAGUGCCCCCUUGGCCUAAUUAACUAACCUCUCUGAGCCCCUGUUCUUUCUUUCCUCCAAUUAUAAAGGCCAUAAAUGCUCAUUACAGAAAAAUUGAAAACUACAGGAAAAUAGAAGGAAGAAAAGGUCACCUGCCUUAUUUAACACACAUAUUUUCUCUAUAAGGUACAUCGCAGCCUUACUAUCUGAGCGUCAUCACUGUUAACACUUUCGAGUUUUCCUUCUGGCCUUCGUUCCAUGCCUACACUUUUUCACAUAUGUAAGGAAAGACCACCUUCUUCCCAGCAAGAAACAGUAUUGGUCAUCUUGGGAGCUUCUGCUGCUGGUGGCCUAGAGAGCCAGAUGAAGGAGUAGAGAAAUGGCAGCUGACUGCAGGAUGGUACAAGAAGGGGAGGAGAGGAGAGAUACAUCCAGAAGCUGGAAACUAGUUCAGCCCUUUGAUGUCAUCCUCUAAGGAGACAGAGCAGAAUGGAGAAAACAGUUGUCUGGAACUGAGCCCAAAAUUAUCUCAGAGGUAUGCCUAUAUAAACAUGGGGCUUAGAGAAAUGCUUCUCUAGCCAGUUUUUCCCCCACUAGAGAAAGGAGAUUAAAACAUUCUAAGGAUAGAAAAAGAGUUGGAAGACUAUUCAGAGUGAGAAAUUCAUGAGAAUCUCGGCUCCUAACCAGUCCCCGAAGGUGAUCUCCAAGAUAAGAGGAUGACAGAACCCCUCAACACAUUCCGAUCUGACAGAGGAGAGGGGACUUUCACCCCGCCCCUUGUCGAGACUCCCAGGAGGUGACAGCCUUGCAGUACUUUCUUGUACUGUUAAGGCAUGGAACAGUUCUAUAGAAUGGCAACCAACAUGCUGGGGCAACCCCACAAGACUCCCUUGGCCCCAUGUAAUGUGUAAGCCAAAUUUCCCCACGUCUCCCAGUGGGGUGUAAAAGUCAACCAGUGGAGAAGAGCUGGUCCUGCAGUCAAGAGAAGGGAAAGCCGCAGCAAAGACAAACAUGGGCCAUAUGGUCCGAGGCCCAGGAAAGGCGGGCUUCAUGAUGGAUGCCAAAGUAGAAUGAGGGAAACACACAUUUGCACCUCCGAAGCUGUCAGCCUAAGGCAGAGUAUGACUGCAGACCAGCCACACACACGUGCACACACAAUCACACACACACACACUCUCUCUCCCUCUCCCUCUCUCUCUCAC
Molecule: long non-coding RNA, 1285 nt
Filed under: Homo sapiens (human)
Lineage: Eukaryota; Metazoa; Chordata; Mammalia; Primates; Hominidae
Description: HSALNT0305554
Source: RNAcentral